GGCUGGUAAAGAACAUAAAAUAGAGAAUUUACAUAUCCAGAUUACACUUUUGGCUGCAGUAACACAACCCAUUAUAAAUAUUUAACGCCACGGUUUCAAAAGCUUGUGGCAGAUGAACCAGAGUAAAGGUCAAAUAAAAGAUCCAAAUUCACGGAUUAAAUUACAAAUCCUCUGUGUUGUUGACCCUGAAGAGCUAGGUCCAUUGAUGCAAAAAUUUUACUCAGGCU
This 227-nucleotide unclassified non-coding RNA is filed under the name Hevea brasiliensis (rubber tree). The record is from RNAcentral. Lineage: Eukaryota; Viridiplantae; Streptophyta; Magnoliopsida; Malpighiales; Euphorbiaceae.